Molecule: ribosomal RNA, 448 nt
Filed under: uncultured bacterium
Lineage: Bacteria
Description: partial 16S ribosomal RNA
Rfam family: Bacterial small subunit ribosomal RNA
Source: RNAcentral
UAGGGAAUCUUCCACAAUGGACGCAAGUCUGAUGGAGCAACGCCGCGUGAGUGAAGAAGGCUUUCGGGUCGUAAAACUCUGUUAUUGAAGAAGAACGUGUGUGACAGUAACUGGUCAUGCAGUGACGGUAUUCAAUCAGAAAGUCACGGCUAACUACGUGCCAGCAGCCGCGGUAAUACGUAGGUGGCAAGCGUUGUCCGGAUUUAUUGGGCGUAAAGCGAGUGCAGGCGGUCUUUUAAGUCUGAUGUGAAAGCCUUCGGCUUAACCGAAGAAGGGCAUCGGAAACUGGGAGACUUGAGUGCAGAAGAGGAGAGUGGGACUCCAUGUGUAGCGGUGAAAUGCGUAGAUAUAUGGAAGAACACCAGUGGCGAAGGCGGCUCUCUGGUCUGUAACUGACGCUGAGGCUCGAAAAGCGUGGGUAGCAAACAGGAUUAGAUACCCUGGUAGU